Molecule: ribosomal RNA, 511 nt
Filed under: uncultured bacterium
Lineage: Bacteria
Description: bacterial SSU rRNA
Rfam family: Bacterial small subunit ribosomal RNA
Source: RNAcentral
AGUCAAUAGAUACCCUGGUAGUCCACGCCGUAAACGAUGUCGACUUGGAGGUUGUGCCCUUGAGGCGUGGCUUCCGGAGCUAAACGCGUUAAGUCGACCGCCUGGGGAGUACGGCCGCAAGGUUAAAACUCAAAUGAAUUGACGGGGGCCCGCACAAGCGGUGGAGCAUGUGGUUUAAUUCGAUGCAACGCGAAGAACCUUACCUACUCUUGACAUCCAGAGAACUUAGCAGAGAUGCUUUGGUGCCUUCGGGAACUCUGAGACAGGUGCUGCAUGGCUGUCGUCAGCUCGUGUUGUGAAAUGUUGGGUUAAGUCCCGCAACGAGCGCAACCCUUAUCCUUUGUUGCCAGCGGUUAGGCCGGGAACUCAAAGGAGACUGCCAGUGAUAAACCUGGAGGAAGGUGGGGUAUGACGUCAAGUCAUCAUGGCCCUUACGAGUAGGGCUACACACGUGCUACAAUGGCGCAUACAAACGAGAAGCGACCUCGCGAGAGCAAGCGGACCUCAUAAA